Molecule: ribosomal RNA, 330 nt
Filed under: uncultured eukaryote
Lineage: Eukaryota
Description: partial 18S ribosomal RNA
Rfam family: Eukaryotic small subunit ribosomal RNA
Source: RNAcentral
CCCUUAGAUGUUCUGGGCCACACGCGCGCUACACUGACGAAGUCAGCGAGCAUCUCCUACGCCGAAAGGUGCGGGGAAUCUUGUGAAACUUUGUCGUGCUGGGGAUUGAUUUUUGAAAUUCUUGAUCAUCAACGAGGAAUUCCUAGUAAGCGCAAGUCAGCAGCUUGCGUUGAUUACGUCCCUGCCCUUUGUACACACCGCCCGUCGCUACUACCGAUUGAAUGGUUUAGUGAGAUUUUUGGACUGGAACUCUCUUGUUCAGCAAUGAACGAGAGGGACUCUGGGAAGCUAUUCUAACUGUAUCAUUUAGAGGAAGUAAAAGUCGUAACA